CACGUAGGGGGCGAGCGUUGUUCGGAAUUAUUGGGCGUAAAGGGUGCGCAGGCGGCCGCUCAAGUCCGGUGUGAAAUACCUCAGCUCAACUGGGGGGACGCGCUGGAAACUGGGAGGCUGGAGUACAGGAGGGGGAGUUGGAAUUCCAGGUGUAGGGGUGAAAUCUGUAGAUAUCUGGAAGAACACCGGUGGCGAAGGCGAACUCCUGGCCAUGUACUGACGCUGAGGCACGAAGGCGUGGGGAGCAAACAGGUUUAGAUACCCUGGUAGUCCACGCAGUAAACGAUGUACACUAGGUGGUGGGUGGUAGCACUCAGUACCGUAGCAAACGCGUUAAGUGUACCGCCUGGGGAGUAUGCUCGCAAGGGUGAA
RNAcentral lists this ribosomal RNA (372 nucleotides) under uncultured bacterium. RNAcentral describes it as "bacterial SSU rRNA". It matches the Rfam family "Bacterial small subunit ribosomal RNA", at positions 524 to 898 of the family's 1533-position model. The record is from RNAcentral.